RNAcentral lists this ribosomal RNA (406 nucleotides) under uncultured bacterium. RNAcentral describes it as "partial 16S ribosomal RNA". It matches the Rfam family "Bacterial small subunit ribosomal RNA", at positions 30 to 526 of the family's 1533-position model. The record is from RNAcentral.
AUUGAACGCUGGCGGCAGGCCUAACACAUGCAAGUCGAACGAGAGGCGGACGGGUGAGUAAUGUCUGGGAAACUGCAUGAUGGAGGGGGAUAACUACUGGAAACGGUAGCUAAUACCGCAUACCAUCGGAUGAGCCCAGAUGGGAUUAGCUAGUAGGUGGGGUAAAGGCUCACCGAGGCGAAGAUCCCUAGCUGGUCUGAGAGGAUGACAAGCCACACUGGAACUGUGAAACGGUCCAGACUCCUACGUGAGGCAGCAGUGGUGAAUAUUGCACAAUGGGCGCAAGCCUGAUGCAGCCAUGCCGCGUGUAUGAAGAAGGCCUUCGGGUUGUAAAGUACUUUCAGCGGGGAGGCGUUACCCGCAGAAGAAGCACCGGCUAACUCCGUGCCAGCCGCCGCGGUAAUAC